This 686-nucleotide unclassified non-coding RNA is filed under the name Hevea brasiliensis (rubber tree). The record is from RNAcentral. Lineage: Eukaryota; Viridiplantae; Streptophyta; Magnoliopsida; Malpighiales; Euphorbiaceae.
CGGCAUAAAAGUCUCGUUUCUUCUACCACGCCGGUGAUUUUCCCCCAAAUUCUCCGGCUUAAAGAUGGAAAGCAGUAUAAAGGAUGAACUAUACUCUGACAUUUUCGAUAUGUCAAAUCUUCAAUCAAGUCUUAGGCCGACUACCAAUUUGGGAAACGAUGAUCCACAUGAGAGCGAGUGGUGCGACGUGUGGAGUGAUAAUGGAGAUUCGUGCGAUGAUUCUACUGAUAAACCGGAUAAAACAUCUGAAAUGGACAGGGAAUGGCAGAGGCGGCAUGACCGAUUCCACACUGUCGGAUACCGUGAGGGUCUUAUGGCAGGGAAAGAAGCUUCAGUUCAAGAGGGGUUUAAUGUUGGCUUUACGGACUCUGUAUAUGUUGGUUACAACUGGGGUCUUGUCAGAGGUAUAACUAGCGCUUUGGCCUCACUUCCCAACGGCUUAAUAGAAAGAAUGGUUGAUACAAAGGAAAUCCAGAAUAAGUUCCAGCAGUUACAUGACUCUGUGCAAUCUCGUUCAACAGUGGAAAUGCUUAAGGUGUUUUAUGAUGAUCUUACAAGGAAAUCGGAAGAGAGUGCUAAAAAUGACAACUCUAGCACCUGCUUGGCGGAUUCCAGAGACCUCAGCUCCAAUGACAGUCUUCUUGAGAAUUACCAGAAAGAGCUACAAUCACUUAUUAAUGAAUCAG